GCAGUAGCCGCGGUAAUACGUAGGGUGCAAGCGUUAAUCGGAAUUACUGGGCGUAAAGUGUGCGCAGGCGGUUAUAUAAGACAGAUGUGAAAUCCCCGGGCUCAACCUGGGAACUGCAUUUGUGACUGUAUAGCUAGAGUACGGCAGAGGGGGAUGGAAUUCCGCGUGUAGCAGUGAAAUGCGUAGAUAUGCGGAGGAACACCGAUGGCGAAGGCAAUCCCCUGGGCCUGUACUGACGCUCAUGCACGAAAGCGUGGGGAGCAAACAGGAUUAGAUACCCCAGUAGUCCCUGUCUCUUAUAC
This 302-nucleotide ribosomal RNA is filed under the name uncultured bacterium. RNAcentral's name for it is "partial 16S ribosomal RNA". It matches the Rfam family "Bacterial small subunit ribosomal RNA", at positions 508 to 807 of the family's 1533-position model. The record is from RNAcentral.